CGCGGGAUUGGGGGGACUGCAGCAGGCGCGAAACCUUUACAAUGCACGAAAGUGUGAUAAGGGAACCCAAAGUGCUUAUGCAUAGCAUAGGCUUUUGCCAAGAGUAAAUAUCUUGGAGAAUAAGUAGUGGGUAAGACUGGUGCCAGCAGCCGCGGUAACACCAGCGCUACAAGUGGUGAUCACAUUUAUUGGGCUUAAAGCGUCCGUAGCCGGACAAGUAAAUUCUUUGUGAAAUCGGAAGGCUCAACCUUUCGACGUGCAAGGAAGACUGCUAGUCUUGGAACCGGGAGAAGUAAGGAGUAUUCCUAGGGGAGCGGUAAAAUGUUAUAAUCCUAGGAGGACUACCGGUGGCGAAGGCGCCUUACUAGAACGGAUUCGACGGUCAGGGACGAAAGCCAGGGGAGCAAAACGGAUUAGAUACCCGAGUAGUCCUGGGCAGUAAACGCUGCGAGCUAGGGUGUUGCACUUUCUUCGUGGAAGUGCAGUGUCGAAGGGAAAGUAUUAAGCUCGCCGCCUGGGAAGUACGGUCGCAAGGGCUGAAACUUAAAGGAAUUGGCGGGGGAGCACCACAAGGGGUGCGGCGUGCGGUUUAAUUGAACUCAACGCCGGAAAUCUCACCAUAAGCGACGGCAGGAUGAAAGUCAGAUUAAAGGUUUUACUUGACGAGCCGAGAGGUGGUGCAUGGCCGCCGUCAGCUCGUGCCGUAAGGUGUCCAGCUAAGCCUGGUAACGAGCGAGAUCUGCAUCCACUAUUACUAACAGGUCCUUUAGGGUGACUGAGUACCUUGUGGAGACUGCCCGGGAAACUGGGAGGAAGGUGCAGGCUACGGUAGGUCUGUAUGCCCCGAAUCUUAUGGGCUACACGCGCGCAACAAUGGUAGGGACAAUGGGCUACAACUCCGAAAGGAGAAGUUAAUCCUCUAAACCCUAUCUUAGUUCAGAUUGAGGGCUGUAACUCGCCCUCAUGACGACGGAAUCCCUAGUAAUCGAAAGUCAACAUCUUUCGGUGAAUAUGUCCCUGCUCCUUGCAGGAAAAAACCGAAUCACUAGU
RNAcentral lists this ribosomal RNA (1050 nucleotides) under uncultured crenarchaeote. RNAcentral describes it as "bacterial SSU rRNA". It matches the Rfam family "Archaeal small subunit ribosomal RNA", at positions 314 to 1478 of the family's 1478-position model. The record is from RNAcentral. Lineage: Archaea; Thermoproteati; Thermoproteota.